This 274-nucleotide ribosomal RNA is filed under the name uncultured bacterium. RNAcentral's name for it is "partial 16S ribosomal RNA". It matches the Rfam family "Bacterial small subunit ribosomal RNA", at positions 523 to 796 of the family's 1533-position model. The record is from RNAcentral.
AUACGGAGGGUGCGAGCGUUAAUCGGAAUUACUGGGCGUAAAGCGUGCGUAGGCGGUUUGUUAAGUCAGAAGUGAAAGCCCUGGGCUCAACCUGGGAACGGCUUUUGAGACUGGCAGACUCGAGUUGAGUAGAGGGGAGUGGAAUUUCCGGUGUAGCGGUGAAAUGCGUAGAGAUCGGAAGGAACACCAGUGGCGAAGGCGACUCCCUGGACUCGAACUGACGCUGAGGUACGAAAGCGUGGGUAGCAAACAGGAUUAGAUACCCUAGUAGUCC